RNAcentral lists this long non-coding RNA (550 nucleotides) under Elaeis guineensis (African oil palm). Its description in RNAcentral is "long non-coding RNA (EGUI_LNC035799)". The record is from RNAcentral. Lineage: Eukaryota; Viridiplantae; Streptophyta; Magnoliopsida; Arecales; Arecaceae.
AUCUUUCCAUUUUCUUCUAUUAUCACAUCAUCUUUAAUCCUUUUCUUUUUGGCUUUAGCUUUGGCUUUGGCUUUGGCUUUGGACUACCAGGAUCAUACGACGAUCUUUUAUUCGGAUCGAUUUCUGUGAUCUUCCUCGGAUCGAAAUAUUCAUGAUCUUUCUCGGAUCAAAGUGGCCAUGAUCUUUCUCGGAUCAAAUCAUUCAUGAUCUUUCUCGGAUCAGAUUCUUCAUGAUCUUUCUCGGAUUAUAUUCUUCCACAUAUAAGCCUGUGGGGGCUGUCCUAGGCAUAAGCUCCUGGCAGGCUAUUCCACAUGACAAGACCAGUCCAAACCAUAUUUCUCUUUCUUUUCAUUUUCAUGAAAUUAUGAUAUUUAACUUCAUUAAUCAAUUCAUCUUUUGCAGUGAAAUAAAUAUGUCAUACACAUAAUCAUGCCAUCAAUCACAGAUACAUAUGUAUUGAUAUAGCAUACUCAUGCUCAAAAUCACAUAAAUAAAUAACAAUAUCUCAGAUAUAACAAAUUCAUCGAUCUCAAAUCCAACGAUGCAAAAU